GAACAAAAGAAGUAAAGGGCUGGAUGCUGUUUUUAAUCCUCUAAAUCUCUCCUACAGAACAGGUAUUCCACCAGGGAUUCUGUCAAUACUUACACAACAGGAUGAGAAGGAUUUUGAUGAAAGAUGCAUGUAAAAUUUCUCCAUAUUCUGUAAAAUCUCUGGAUAAUUUAUUCCUAAAGGAAAGUGACAUCACCACCCUCAA
Thalassophryne amazonica is the source of this 202-nucleotide long non-coding RNA. RefSeq lists it as uncharacterized. The record is from RefSeq and is a predicted model, not a curated record. Lineage: Eukaryota; Metazoa; Chordata; Actinopteri; Batrachoidiformes; Batrachoididae. The transcript has 2 exons.